CCUACGGGWGGCWGCAGUAGGGAAUCUUCCGCAAUGGGCGAAAGCCUGACGGAGCAAUGCCGCGUGAGUGAUGAAGGUUUUCGGAUCGUAAAGCUCUGUUGCCAGGGAAGAACGCUUGGGAGAGUAACUGCUCUCAAGGUGACGGUACCUGAGAAGAAAGCCCCGGCUAACUACGUGCCAGCAGCCGCGGUAAUACGUAGGGGGCAAGCGUUGUCCGGAAUUAUUGGGCGUAAAGCGCGCGCAGGCGGUCAUUUAAGUCUGGUGUUUAAUCCCGGGGCUCAACCCCGGAUCGCACUGGAAACUGGGUGACUUGAGUGCAGAAGAGGAGAGUGGAAUUCCACGUGUAGCGGUGAAAUGCGUAGAUAUGUGGAGGAACACCAGUGGCGAAGGCGACUCUCUGGGCUGUAACUGACGCUGAGGCGCGAAAGCGUGGGGAGCAAACAGGAUUA
Molecule: ribosomal RNA, 449 nt
Filed under: Paenibacillus mobilis
Lineage: Bacteria; Bacillati; Bacillota; Bacilli; Caryophanales; Paenibacillaceae
Description: bacterial SSU rRNA
Source: RNAcentral